This 465-nucleotide ribosomal RNA is filed under the name uncultured bacterium. RNAcentral's name for it is "partial 16S ribosomal RNA". It matches the Rfam family "Bacterial small subunit ribosomal RNA", at positions 28 to 507 of the family's 1533-position model. The record is from RNAcentral.
GAUGAACGCUGGCGGCGUGCUUAACACAUGCAAGUCGAACGGAAAGGCUCCUGCUUGCAGGGGUACUCGAGUGGCGAACGGGUGAGUAACACGUGGGUGAUCUGCCCUGCACUUCGGGAUAAGCCUGGGAAACUGGGUCUAAUACCGGAUAGGACCACAUUUUGGAUGGUGUGGUGGAAAGUUUUUCGGUGUGGGAUGAGCUCGUGGCCUAUCAGCUUGUUGGUGGGGUAAUGGCCUACCAAGGCGUCGACGGGUAGCCGGCCUGAGAGGGUGUACGGCCACAUUGGGACUGAGAUACGGCCCAGACUCCUACGGGAGGCAGCAGUGGGGAAUAUUGCACAAUGGGCGCAAGCCUGAUGCAGCGACGCCGCGUGGGGGAUGACGGCCUUCGGGUUGUAAACUCCUUUCGCUAGGGACGAAGCGCAAGUGACGGUACCUGGAGAAGAAGCACCGGCUAACUACGUG